CAGGGAAGAGGAAUGGGAACCAGGACCGCCCAGGUAACGCUGUUUCCCAGGUAACGCUGUUUCCCAGGUAACACUGUUUCUUUUCCGCAGAGGUCAGACCCAGAGUCCGAAGGAGAAGGGAUGAAGGAUUGCAUUCAGCCCUCCAUUUCUUGCACCCCACCCGAGAGGCCAGUCCCUCACCCCGGCUGCAGGUCAGGCGGUUUGGGGAGGGGGUUGUUAAAGCCGAGUCUGCCCACCAGCCAGUACGUGUCCUCAGCGCCCUUGCCCUGGAGAGACACAGUGGAGGGGAGACUUAGGUGGACUGGGAUGAGGGAUGAGUGAUCUGUAGGUCUAAGUGGAACCAAGAAACUCCAGGUCCCUAAGGAAGCCCCAAGGAGGGGGCGGGGCCGACCCUGCCUCACCUUCAGCUCGGUGCGACCUCGCAGUUCCAACUGGAAUCCCUGGUCCAGAGCGCAGAGAAUCUGCACAGUGCUCAUGUUCACGUGAAUGCGGGCUCCGCCUCACCUCCCCCAACUCCUUGAGGCCCUGGCACACUCACGCAGCCCAGUGGACUCCAUGCGCGAGGCAGUGUUGACCGUGUCCCCAAACAGGCAGUAUCUCGGCAUGGUGAGGCCCACGACGCCUGCCACGCACGGGCCUGCGGAGAUGCACAAGGGGCUGCUCUUCCUGAGUCUCAUCUGAAUUGGGUGGAAAUGCUGAGGAGGCAGGUCCAGGAGCUCCCAACAUGGCAGGUAUGACCUUAGUGGCCACACCAGCUUCUGAGUCACCAUGACUGCCUUUGAGGAGCCAUUGGCUGGAUCAUGGCUAGGGAAAAUCCUACAGCAGAGAGGAUUCCCAAAUGUGGAAUCACAUCAGGAUUGAACAAUCCAUGACCUUUCCCUAGCUCCUGCCUGGUCUCUCAUCCCCUUGCCUGGAGCCUGGAUGAUCUGACAUGCCUACAUGCCUCCACUGAAAGUGCCUCUUCUCUGCCCAGGGUCUGAGCAUUCCUGAACCACUCUCCCUACUGGAGUAGAACUCAACCUGGCUAGGGGUCAGGCUCACCUCAUAAAGGCCAAUGUUGGAGCUUUCCAGAGACUGGCUGGGGAUGCUGCGAAUGUCUGACAUGCUGCGAGCCGCCAGGCUUGACCGACUGCCCUGGACCACCUAGGGGAGAAUAUGCUCUAGGGUUAGAAUUCUGGAUUGAGGUCAGGCUGACUUUUGUAGACUAAAAGCGGAAAGGAAGGAAUUUCAAUUAGAGAACAUGAUAAUGGCAUAACUCCCCCAAUAGCACAGCACUUUACACACAUAGUCAUAGUCUUGUUGGACCUUCACGUCACCCUAGGAAAGUAGUCAGGACAAAGGCUGUCACCACCAUUGCACAGAUGAGGUUACUCCACAAAGCUAGGACCUGUGGGAAGGGGGCAGAAACCAGGCUUCCCAAUUGGGAGAUUGGGAUGAGAGCUGCUUCAAGAAAGGCAUCAAAUAUACUACAGGGAGAAGACAGCUAGCUGCAGGCUCCCUGUUUUACCCACCUUUCAAAGCUGCCCCCUUGUGGCUGGAGGAAGGUGAUGUCGUCCCAGAGUAAGGAUGAUCUUGUUGGGUCCAGAGACCAUUUGGAUGUGAAGAAGCCGGUGCCUUGUGGGGGAAGAAGGUCAUUCCCACAAAGGAGAUGAAGUUCCAUGAGAAGAGGCCAGCAGGGGAUGGGGUGAAGGGAUGAUAUUAGGUCAGGGAAGAGGAACCGGGCAGCAGCCAUCCCCAAACCAGAUGCCCUCAAGAUCCUUAUUCCCUUUCCCAAGAAAAAUCCCUCCUCUCUUCUACUCUUGAAAGGGCCCAGCUUGCUGUCUUUGCUGCACAAUUUCAUUUCUGGCAGGUGGAGAGAGGCAAGAUCACCACCUAAUUACCUCAUGCCCCUACUCACCUCAUAUAGUGGGCCAGGAAAGCCCCCCUUGAGCCCCAACCCUACCACCAGGAGGAAGCCAAGAAAGAUGAGGCCAGGCUCCACUCCUGAAGAAACAAUGAGAGGAGGAACACUAAGGCCCUUGGUCAGACAAGGCCCAACCUUCUAGGGAGGCAGAUAGUCGUGCCAAAUCCUAGAGGCUGCAGGAAAUGGGGAGGAUGGGAACUAGGGCAGGCUCUAAGGGGAAAGUCCACAGAUUCCUCAAGGGGGAGUUUUCAAAUGUUAAAAGGUUCCCAGAGGGUUUGAGGACCCUGCAAGAGAAGAGUUCUGUGCAAGUCUGGGGUUGGAGGAUCUGCAAAGGCAUGAGAAGAAAUACAGGAC
This is a long non-coding RNA of Heterocephalus glaber (naked mole-rat), 2257 nucleotides long. The record is from Ensembl. Lineage: Eukaryota; Metazoa; Chordata; Mammalia; Rodentia; Bathyergidae.